CAUUACUUCACCUUCUCCCAACAAUUUGGCAACGCCAAAAUCUCCAACAUGUGCAACCAUGUCUUCAUCUAGUAAAAUAUUGCUUGGUUUUAUGUCACAAUGAAUUAUAGGUGUUGGAUGUCCAUUGUGGAGGUGUUCUAUAGCUACCGCAACAUCUAUCAUUAUCUCGACCCUUUGUAUGAUAUCAAGGAAACAAUUUUCAGAAUGUAACCAUUUAUCAAGGUUUCCAUUAGACAUGUAACCAAGCACCAAGGCUUUGAAGUCAACACUUGAGCAGCAAGUAAUGACCUUCACAAUAUUACGAUGAACUAUAUUACGCAUAGCAUCACAUUCAAUGUCAAAACUCCUAAAUGCUCUCUCUGUUUGCAAAUUGAAAACUUUUAUUGCAACUUCCAUUCCAUCUGAAAGCCUCCCUUUAUAUACAUAUCCAAAACUCCCUGAACCAAGCAUAUUGCUUUCCUCAAAUCCAUUAGUUGCUCGUGAAAGUUCAGCAUGUGAAAUUCUUCUCGGUGUCUUCAAAGACAACAAAUCAUCUUUAACUGGUAGAGUUGUACUCCUUUGGCAUCUUCUAUACAUAAUAGUUAAGACUAUUAGUACUACGACAAUACCAAUUGUUGGUAAACCAUACCUAAAAGCAUGCAAUAUAAUCAUUUGGGAGUUUUUGUGGAUGUCGUUUUUGCAAGGUGGGACUAGCAAUCUAGGUGGACCACAAAGUGCACAAUUCUUCAUGAAUGAUGUGCUAGAAAUGUUUGAAAAACAUCCUUUGCUGGGAAUUUCCCCUUCAAGUCUAUUGAAAGACACAUUAAAAUACUUUAGAUAUAAAAGCUGUUCCAAAGAUUUGGGAAUGACUCCAGAGAAAUUGUUAUUGCAUAAAUCCAAGAAUUCCAAACUAAUCAACCCAUCAAAUGAUUCAGGGAUACGACCAUGUAGUAUAUUAUUUGAUAAAUCUAAUGAAACCAAAGUUUGAAGACCCCCAAAUGUGGAUAAGAUAUCGCCCAUGAGAAGAUUCCUUGAUAAAUUUAGUCUCAGUAGACUCCUAAAAUUUCCAACAUCAAUAGCAUGUGAAUUGUGAAGACGGUUUGAUGAUAAAUCUAUUUCUAAGAUAUCUUUAAGACUCCACAAAGUUGAGGGUAUUGUAGAACUCAAUUUGUUGGAAUCUAACCAAAGAUAUCUCAAAGCAGAAAUAUUACCUAAACAAGAGGGUAUGGAUCCAUGCAGCUUAUUCAACCCUAAAUGCAUCCCGUAUAGUCUCUCCAAACCACAGAGGCUUUCUGGGAUAGGCCCUCCUAAUUUAUUAGAGGAAAGAUCUAGACCUUGCAGAUUCCGCAGUCCUCCUAUUGAUGCUGGAAUGAAUCCACUUAAUUUAUUAUGGCCAAGUUCUAAAACCAAUAAGUUGGUUAAGUUACCUAUUUCCAUAGGAAUAAUGCCUUGAAGCUCACAAUUAUAGGCAAGAAAGAAUUGAAGGGAUUUUGAAAGGUUCCCGAUAUAAGUAGGAAGAACACCACUCAAUGGAUUUCCUGAAACUCCUAUGGCUUUCAAAUUCCUACAAUUCGUCAAAGAAGAAAGAAAGCUCCAGUCAUGAUCAGUAGCAGAUCCUGUGAUCAAAUUAUUGUCAAAGAUUUUGAGCACUUCAAGGUGUUUUAAGCUGCCUAGCGUUUUAGGGAUUGGGCCAGAGAAUAAGUUAUGUGACAAGGAUAGAAUCUUAAGCAUGGAAGCAUUGGAGAUAGAGUUGGGAAUGUUUCCGCUAAGUUUAUUUCCCCACAAUAAAAGAAUCUCAAGCUUUGGAGCAUUGGUGAUGGGUGGUAAAUUACCUGUAAAAUAGCAUCUUUUAGUAUACAUAUUCACAAAAUAUAUAAUACAUUAAAAUAAAAACUGUAAAACUUUAAAUCAAUUAAGAAUAAAAUUUUGGCAUGGAAAAAUGUGAUGAAAUCAAUUAGAAAGUUGAGACAUAAUAAGAAGUUUUGAGUACUAAUUAGUCUUUGUGAUUUGUAUAGACAAAACAUAUAAUACACUAAUAAUUUUUUAAAAUAUUGUAAAACUUGAAAUAAAAUAAAAAUAAAAGUUUGGCAUGAGAAUGUGGCAUCUAAUCAAUCUUAAAAAUGAGACUCACACUGAAUAAUAAUUAGUUAUGAUUUGGGAAACAAAAAUGUUAAAGCCAUUGUUUUUAAUGUAAACUGGUAUGAUUCUUAUCUAUUGGGUUAAUUAUUUAUUUUUAUUAAAUUAUAGUGUAAAAUUUAAAUAUUAUUAUUUGCUCAAAAUUUUUGUAUUUUUCGUAUAUUUGAAAUUCAAUCUUUAUAUUUUUUAUUUUCUGUGAUUUAGUCUCUCUACUUUUUUUAUUAAAAAUUUUAGGUUCAUUUAUUAACACUGUUAAAAAGUUUUUGUAUUAGUAUGACAUUUUGAAAAAUAAAAUAAACUUGAUAUCUAUGUUUUUAAUUAUUCCAAAUAUUGUUUUACUAUUUCAAGAUAAAUUAUUUGUGUCUAGACCAAUAUCUUAAGAACUAUUGUUGCAUGUUUAAUUAUUCUAAAAAAUUAUUGAUUGAGUCUUAGCUUGAUUGGCAUGUGCAUUGUUGCCAAUAUAAGAGAAUGUGGGAUCAAAUAUGCUGAAGUUCAUUAUCCUCCUAUUAUGAAUUGGGGAGUUGGUAAAGUAUUAAAUUUUGAUAUAUUUUAAAAUAUUAAAAAUUUAUUAAAAUAUUUUUUAUAAAAAUCGGUUGUACCACAAUAUACAAUUUUAAUAUCAAAUUUUUAAUAUUUUUAAAAUAUUAGCGAAUAUAUACUUUAUUUCAAGUUACACAAUUUUUACUAGUUUUUAACUUUUUUUAAAAUUUUUAUCGUCUUUUAUAAUUUCUAAUAAUUUUUUACAAUAUUUAACAAUUUCUAACCAUUUUUAAUAAUUUUAUUACUUAUUAAAAAUUAACAAAUUAACUAUUUUUUAUUUUUUUAAAACAAUUAUAUAUUUAUAAUGUAGUUAUUUUUUUAUAAUUUUAUUUGAAAUUUUAAAGUUUUUUUGGUUUGUUUUCUAGAUGAUGAUGCCAUCAUGAUGUCAUCAUAUGCCACAUGGCAAUUUAUGAUUAGUUGAAUAUCUCAAUUUAUUUUUUUAAUGUCCAAUGGACUAAACCAAGAACACUUGAUUAUGUUAGAGACUACACUAGGAAUGUUUGAUAACAUUAGGUACUAAAGUAGGAAAAAAAAAAAAAGGAGCAAUACGAUGUAGGGAGUAAACUGUGCAUUAAGCCAUUAAAAAUAUAUCUAUAAUAUAUAUAAAUGCAUGGAUUUUGAGAAACUUUUGAAAUGAUAAUUAUAUAGUCUUUGUUUUUUUACUAUAUUAUUGAAUUUGUUAUUUUAAAUAUUUUUUUAUUACUUUUAAGAUUUAUCAUAUGUAUGGAUAAGAAUUUUGGUUUUACUAAAAUAUUUGGUUAAAUAAAUUCACUUCAUAAGAAGAUUUAGCAUCCUUGUAAAUAACAAUUUUGAUUCUAUUAAAAAAUUAUUUUAAAAUAUAUAUAAUAAAAUUUUAAAAUUUAUAUUGAAUUACUUUAUACUUAAAUUAUUAUUAGAAACUUUAUCAUACACAUACGUGUAUGAGAACUAUGUAUUUAGAACAUAAAUUUGUGUUUUAAAAUAACUUAUGAUAAAUAAUGAAAUGUAUAAUUUGAAACUAUUUAAUAAAAACACAUGGCUUAUCUACAAUAUUAAAAUAAAAAUAGCUUAAAUUGUAAGCAAAACAUAAUUUAAACAUAUGAAUACAUUAAAUUAAGAAUACUAAAUGAAUACAGUUAUUUAUGAUGGUGUUGUCUUCAAUUCCUAAGUUGGUGUCAAGUUAAUUUGUGACAUCAUAAAUUUAAGGUUUUAUGUAUUGAUGUGGAUUCAAAUAUCACCAUUUUUUUUAAAAUAAAAUUUAAAAUAAAUACAUUUUCCACAUUGGUUUCUUUUCUUCUACAGACAAAGGAUUUCUAAUGAUUUUUUUUUUAAAAAAAAUUACUUAUAUAAAAUAGAUUAGUUUAUGCAAUAAAAAUAAUUUCUUUUUUAAAGUUUAAUAGAAAUUAAAAAACAAAAAAAAAAUCAAUUCAUAUAAAGCUUAUUGUUUAUUAUCAGAUUAAAAUGAUAAAAGUAUACGAUAAACCCAUACUUGACGGAAUGUUACCAGAUAAUUCAUUUUUAUUCUAGUAAAGCCCUUCAAGCUUGAGAAUAUGUUGACACAUAUCAUUAGGCAAACUACCUGAUAGGUUAUUGUUGGAGAGAUCAAUGGCCUUCAGAGAAGAAAUGUUGAAGAUCGAAGUUGGAAUCUGACCUGUAAGGCCUUUAAUUUCUCUAAUAUUAAGCAGUUCCAAACCAAGAAGAUUACCGAUUUCCUCAGGAAUUUGAUCUGCACACAUAGUCGAAAAAUCAAGAUGUGAAACUACCUAUUUUGUUAGCAUAAGUCAAAGAGGUUUUCUUUUCUGUUCUACAUAAUUUGCAGAUGUUAGAUUUUAAUAUUUUUAAGCAUAUUUGUUUUCAUCAAAUUAACUAUUUUGAACUAUUUUGCCUUGAAUGAAAUAAAAUGCUCAUAUUUUUGUUAUCUAUUACUAAUCAAACUCUUUUAUAAAAAAAAAUACUUUAAACUAAAGAAACCAAGAAAAUUCAAUACCUUCUAAGUUAUUCAACUCCAAAUAUAAUUCUUUGAGUCGUGUCAGAUUUCCAAUACUUCUUGGAAUGAUCCCCCUCAAUUUAUUAUCGGAAAAUGCCAAUAUUUUAAGGUUGCUGCAUUUGCCCAUACUUGAUGGAAUGUUACCAGAUAAUUCAUUUUUAUUCAAGUAAAGCCCUUCAAGCUUGGGAAGAUGUUGACACAUAUCAUUAGGCAAACUACCUGAUAGGCUAUUGCUGGAGAGAGCAAUAGUCUUGAGAGAAUAAAUGUUGAAGAUCGAAGUUGGAAUUUGACCUGUAAAGCCUUUAAUUGCUUGAAUACUAAGCAUUUCCAAAUUAAAAAGAUUACCGAUUUCUUCAGGAAUUUGACCUGCUGACAUAGUCGAAACAUCAAGGUGUUAAAUUACCUAUUUUGUUAGUGUAAAUCAAAGAGGAUUUUUAUUUUUCUCGUUAUGAAAUAAUAUGGAUAUGUUAGAUUCUAAUCAUAUUUAAGUAUAUAUUAGUUCUUGAAAGAAAGAGUUCUUAGUAUUUAUAUUGCAAAUAUUUUUUUUAAAAUUUAAAAAAAGGGGGGGGGCAAAUGUGUUUAAACUAAAGAGAUCAAGGAAAAGGCAUACCAUCUAGGUUAUUUAACCCCAAGUAUACUUGUUUAAGUUGUGUCAAAUUCCCAAUGCUUUUUGGAAUGAUCCCACUAAAUUGAUUAAUAGACAAUUCCAAAAUUUGAAGGUUGCAGCAUUUGUCUAUACUUGAUGGAAUAGAACUUGAUAAUUCAUUUCUACUCAAGUAAAGCUCUUUAAGCUUGGGAAGAUGGACACACAGAUCAUCGGGUAAGCCACCAGAAAGACUAUUAUCACGAAAAUGAAUCCUUUUCAAAGAAGAAAUGUUAAAGAUGGAAGAUGGAACCAGGCCAGAUAAUUGAUUGAAUCCCAAGUUCAAGAUCUCUAGAUUGGAUAAGUUGACAAGUGUUUGAGGGAUUGUGCCUGUGAAGUUAUUAUUUCUCAUUUCCAACCUUUGAACUCUGUGCAAGUUCCCAAGCCAUGAUGGAAUUUCCCCAUUAAGACGGUUGUAGCUUAAUCGAAUGAUCCUCAAACGAUGCAAUUGGCCCAAUUCUUUAGGCAGAUGGCCAUAGAAAUUGUUGUUGCUCAGGUCGAGAGAAAAUAGAAAUGAAAGAUUUCCAAGGUGUGGAGGGAUAGUACCCCUAAGAUUCAUGUUUGUAAGAUUCAAAGCUACAACUCUUUCAUGGAUGAUGUCACAAGAAACACCAGCCCACUUACAAACAGAGGUAGAGUUCGUCCAAUUGUUUGCCAACACAUUUUGAGGAUCGACAAUGCGAUCUUUAAACUCAAAGAGUGCAAACUGAUAGGAGUUGAGAUUCCGGACUGUCAUAGCCAAGGAAACAAUGGAACAUUGUAAGAAUAAAAGUGAAAGAAGAUGAAAGCAAGUGUUGUAGUUCAUGAUGGCAAGACGAAAUAAGCCAGGAAAAGGGAAGUUGAAUUGAUGAAGAAAUACCCAGCCAACAUGCUUAAAUAGGCUUCAACCCUUGCACACUUCUCAUACAUAAAGUUCACUGCCAUUACAACAAGAAAACUCGUAUCUCCAUUCAUACCUAUCCAUACUUUAUUUGACUAACUUUUCCCUAACAGGUGUUCAGUAAGGAGACAAAUCACUUUGGAGCUAUUCACCGACUUCUCCAACCUUGGUUUCAAACUCCGUCCAACCUUGGUUUCAAACUCCUAGCCCAUCAAUUCACUUUAAUUGAAACGAUAUACACGAGUCUUUCGGCUUAUAUUUUUAACUUACUAAUUCUCUUUUUAAUUUAUUUUUUGUUACUUGUCAUAAUAUUUUUUGAGAAAUCCAAUAUUCCAGUCUGAAAUUUCUUCAUUGCCACGUCUAUCUCCUCGGUAAGUUCGUGGCUAGGCGGCCCACUUUGGGGGCAGGAUUGUAAUUUUAGUUCUAUCCGACUCAUUUUACUAUUUAGAAAUAUAAAAGUAAUAUUUAUUAAUUUUUAUAUUUUUAUAAAUUUAAAUUUAAUUUUAAUUUUUAAACAAUAAAACGAGUCAUUUUUAUUUGCCUAGGCCAAAUUGAAUCAGGAGUGAAAAUUUUUUUAAUCAUAAUUUACUAUUAUUUUAAUUAAUUAAAUUUUAAUUUACUAUAACUAGUAGUUGCAAAAAAAAUGACAUUCCUUUAGAAAAAUGAGAACUUAUGAAGCAUUCAAUAAGAGUUGUUGGAAUACAUGGUAACGAAACCAUAAUUCGAUAUAAAACUAUAUAAAUAAUGUAAGAUUUGUGAUACCUAAAUUGUUAUGUUUUCUAUAAAUAUAUGGAGAUUUUUUAUUAGGAAAUAAUUUUAUAUAUCAACAUUUGUUAUUUUCUUUUGAUAGAAAUUUAAUUAUGUUAUCUGUAGAAAAAAAUAUUUAUAGAAAUAUCAUUAGUAGAAAAUCAUAAAUUUGUGUGUGGCAAAAAAUUUUCACCACCAAGAAAGGGACAAAUUAAACAACUUGAAAGUCAUUGGUUGUUUAAAAUAUUAGAUAAUAAUUUUAGUGAAGAAUCAUUAAAAUUAUGACAAAAUAACCCUAGAUAUUGUAGUAUUAAAUUAGAAAAUCUCAAUAAUAUUAUUAGAGUAAAACCUAUGAUGUAUCUAAACAAGAUAUAGAAGAAUUUGAUAUACAAAUUAAGGGUAGAAAUCAUACGGAAAUAAUAAAAAACAAGAAAAAGCUAGUAUGGUCAUUAAUUAUAAAAGAUUAAAUCAAAAUAUUAUUUUUUGUAGUUACUUGAAUUAAUCAGGAUAAACAAACAAAAUAUUUUAGUAAAUUUGACUGUAAAUCAGGAUUCUAGUAAAUCAUGCUAACAGAAAAAUCUAAACCUUUAACAGCUUUUAGUGCACCCAAUGGACAUUACCAAUGAAAAGUGAUGUCAUUUCAAUUAUGUGAUGCACCACAAAUCUUCCAAAGACAAAUAGAUUUUAUAUUUAAUAAAUAUAAAAAAAUACUAUGUAGUUUACAUAGAUGAUAUUUUGAUAUUUUCAGAUACACUAGAAUUACAUAAGAAACAUUUAAAUAUUAUUUCUUAAGAAUUCAUAAAAUAUAGAAUCAUAUUAAACCCUAAAAAUAUAGAGUUAGAAAAAACAGAGAGAAUUUUUACAAUAGUGGAAAUAAAAAAUUGUCCUCAAUUUUAUUACAGAAAUUUCUUUGCCGACAAUAAGAAAAGAGCAUAUUCACAUUUUCGUCGCAAUUUCAACUAACACCCAAUCUCUUUCCCACUUUCCUUUUUCGGCCAAUUUCAAACGUAGCUGUUUUUCGAUUUUUCCUCUUGAUUUCAUUAAUAAAAUGAUCAAUCUAUUUGUUUUUUAAAUAUAUGAUUUUAUUAAUAUUUUUUAAUUAUAAUAUAAGAGUUGUUGUUUAUUUAUAGUUUUAUUACAUUAUUUAAUCUCUUUUUUAUAUCAAGUUUUUUAAAUUAUAAUAUAAGAUUUAUUUUAUCAAAUUGUGGCUUAUCAAAUGUUCAUCUAUUUUAAUAAUAACUUGAGUUCGAAUCAUUAUCAUACCAGAAAGAGUUCCCUUUAUUCUUUAUCGUAAAUUUUAUAAGAAAUUAUAUUUUAUUACAAUACUAUAUGUGUUAGAAUAAUAUUUUAUUGUGGAUGCCCAUAAUUCUCGAAGUUGUAACCUCGAAUGUAGUAACCUCAAUGAAAUUAUGAGGCUUUUAUAUUGUAAUCAAGCCUCUAUCUAUUCUUUGUAUUCUUUGUAGAAAAUAUGAAGUUGAUUUUACUUUAUUAAAAAAUUUAAAAUAAAUUAUCUUGUUUUUUUUAAAUGAGUUAACCAAAUUAGCAUAUUUAUUUUGAUCUAAAAUUAUCCAAAAUAAUAUAAAAUAUUAUAUUAAUAAAAUUAAAACUAUGAAAUAAUUUUUUUUAAAGAUUAUUAUUUACUUUUAUCAAACAAUACAAUUAUAUUCAGUACUUAUAUUUACUAGUUUACCAAACAGUUUUCCAAUAUGAAUUCAACACUUAUCAAAUUCAGUAUUAAAAAUUCAGUGCUUAAUUUUUUAGCACUUAACUUUUCAAUUCAUCAAGCACGUCUAAUUCAAUUUAUACAAUUCCCUAUUUGUAUCUCUAUGAAUUUAUAAAAUCCUUCUCGCAUUUAGUUGUUGGGAUCUUUAUAUGAAGAUAGAUGCUUUUAUUUUUUAUUGGUUCACUUUUAAUUGUAUUGAUUUAUUUAAUUUUAAUUUUGAUUAAUAUAUAUGAUUAUUGUGGAAUGGGAGUAAAAGUAUUUACUUCUCAUAAACUUUGAAAUAUUCACCCUGUCUACAUAUUAAUUAUUGUAAAAUUUGAAUUGAAAUUAUGCCAUAAAAGGUGGAGGUUAGAAAACCUCUUAUUGAGACCUUAUAAUAUUUUGUAAUUUUUUGUGUUAUGGUAUAUAAAAAAAUAUCUAACCAUAGUGAUUGAUUAGUAAUAUAAAUUUGUUAUUUGUUAUGUUUAAUAUAUAUUUUAUUUAUACUUAUUCAUUUUAUUUUUAUAUGAGUAAAUGAAGUGUUUGAAGAUUCGAAAUUUUUAUCAUCCAUGUUGAAAAUAACUGCAAAAGUGUAUAUUAUUUAAAAUAAAUUACGCAUUCAUUAAUGUUAUGUGAUAAAAUCAUUACAUUUUCUGAAGAACUAAUAUUGCAUCAAACUGUAAAAAGCUCUUGAAGAGCUAAUAUUUAUCUCCCUGUGAUGCAAAAUCUUGUAAAACAUGAUAUUAUUUUUCAAAUCAAGAAGAUUUAUGUUGAAGGAAAUAUUUAUGUGUUUUACAUUAAAACCAUGGAUAGAAAUGACAUGAGACACUCAUGUAUUUGCAUUAUAAAUAUUCCUUGAAGGAAUACACUUCACUUGUAUGAUUGACAUAUGAGAUAAUAGCAAGAAGUUUAUAGUGUUGGUAUGGCCGGCUAGACCAUCUCAAGUCAAUAAUGAUGCAAAAUAAUUUGAAGAGAAUUUAUAUGAUUUUAUUGAAGAAUGAGAAGUUAUUUUCAUUUUGAUAAUUGUCAUCAACAAUAGUUCUUUGGAAAAAAAAAUAUUGAACUAACAUCAACUAAAGUUAGAGGUUGGUUCAUGGUUGCAUUUUUUGAUGAUAUCCAAAUAAUAUAUGAGCUCAUGUAUCACAUGUAUGCAACCCAAAGUUUACAGUAUUAUUUCUUGAAAUAAUUUGAUUCUACACAAUCUCUAUAGCAUGCAAUUUGUGCUAACAACACUGGUGCAUUAUAUCCUAAGCUUGAUUUUCGUAGUUUUAGCUGAGAUAAUAUUAAGUUGUCUAUGCCUAUAUAUAUUAUACUUAAUGGUUAGCAAAAUUAUGCCUCCAUUUAAUUGCUUAACCAUUAAUAUAAGAAUAGCUUUAAAAUAAGCAUGUAAUUUUAUUUGCAUCGAGCCAACAUGUAAGAAAUAUUUGUCCCAUGAGAAUUAGCUUUUAUUUAUAAGCCAAUAGGUUUCAUUUAUGACUAUUUGGAUGUAAAAUAUCUAUUUUAUAUUCCACCAUAAUGCACUAAGAUGGACCAUCAAGUAUGAAGUUGAGAAAAAUUAGAAUUUUUAUUUGAUGGUAAAAGUUGCAAAGAGAUAUAUAUUUAUAAUUUUGAAAAAAAUAGUCAUGUUGCAAAUUUUCUCAGUAUUAGAGGGAGACAAGUUGGACAAAUACGUAUAAUUAUGUCAUCACUUUUUGUGACCCCUCACUAAUCUUAUGUGCACAAAGUUUGAAGGAAAAAAAUAAUUUGCUAGACAUGUUUAGUGAUGACAUUUAGAGAUUGUAUAUAUUGGAUGAUACAUAUACCAGCUAAAAUGUUCCAAAUAAUUAUGCGUCCUAGAAGGACAAAGUGAUAAAAAUAAUUUUUGGGCACGCUAGAAGGAUGAAAAACUAGUUGGUUCUAUAAAUAAAAAAAUUCUUGACAGAAAAGAGUAAGAAAUGAAUAUGGCCACACGUUAAAGGAGACGAGUACUCAUGAAGAGACCCAAGGUAUAACUUUUAAUAAAACCCCAAAAGAGGUUCAAUACAUGAAAUUAUGAAUAUAAUAAGUGUAAUAACCAAAUUUUUCCCGGGCCCAAUGCCAAACAAAUAAAACCCAAACCAAAUAAAUAAAAUAAGAGUCCAAAUUAUAGUCCAUUAGGGCCCAAUUCAGACCAGCCCACUAUUCAAUCAGACCAGCCGAACAACAAAAAAAAAACCUAGUAGCCCACAGCCCAACUAAGCCUAAAAAAUUUUCAGCAAAAGAAAAAACCCUAGCUGCCAUGCUAGCCGCCGCUCCUGCCCUAGCCUCUGCCCACUAUCGUACGCCACCUCUGCCAUCACCAUUAGCCUCUGACACCUGCAAAACAGCAAACAACAUGCAACAACAGAGAAGAAGACGACAAGCAAAAAACAAAUCACUAAAGGACAAAAAUAAUGAUAACAAAUAGCCUUAGUUUGGCUAUAAAAGCACAAAAAUGAAAACUUUGUACUUCUUUGGCAAGAUUAAUACAAAAAAGAAAAGAUUUGAACUUUUUAGGGUGAUAUUUCAUUUUUUUUUACGCUUUAGAUCUAUUUUUUUAUUUCAUCUUCAUCUACGAAAAUAAUAGAAAAAAGACUUUGAUUUCAAGGUGAUAUUUUGUUGUUUUUUAGAUCUAGUGUUUUUUUAUUUAUUUUUAUCUACAAAAAUAAAAAAAAAGGAAAAGAGAAACGUACCUAAUUCACCCCAUGGCUCCGUCGACGGAAGUCCCAUCGCCAUCGUCGGAAUCGGGCUUAAAAGGGGAAGGUUUUUAUUUUUCUUUACUUUUUUUUUGGAUUUUUCGUCUCAAGAAAUGGACUAAGGGAGGGGAAAUGGCCAAAAUGGUCUUUUUCCGAUGAACUCUGGCAACCACAUGUGGCAGUUAACAGUGCCGGUGCUCGGUGGCUGCGGUGGAGCCAUGGUGGUGUCCCAUGGCCGGAUCUAGAGAGGAAGCCUUUGAGAGGGAGAGAGUUUCUAACAUUUUUUUUAUUUUCUAAGGCAGAAAUGAAUUUUUGAAAAAAAAAAGUUGGGUUUUAUAAGUGCGUGAAAUGGCGCCAUUUUGCGCAAGUGCACAUCGACGUCGAAACGACAUCGUUUACCCCUUUACCCGCUCGCCCGAGUCUGGCUCGAUGAAGGUCCGCAUAUUUUCAUGCCUGAUGGGUUAUUUCCCUGCCCGAUCCUUCCGCUUUUGGGCUUCUUCUCAAUCUGGUCCUGAUCCUACUUUUUCCCGCCUUUUAAAUUGUACCAUUUAAUUUCAUUUCAUUUUCAACUCGGUCCCUCGGCUGACCAAAGGAAAUGAUGCGCAUAAAGUUAAGGGAUAUUUUCCCUUUCAAUCCCCAAUAUUUUUAGAGCGAUGCAUUUUAAUCCCUAACCUUUCAUUCCAAUCUUUUACACAUAUUAUUUCAUUUUAUUCGUUUAUUUAUUGACUUAUCAUUUUUACCCUCUUUUUAUACUUAAAAAUAUAUAUUAUUUACACUAUUACUUGCAUUUUUUUACUAUUAAAUUAUUAUUUUUAAUGUAUUAUAUUCCCAUUAUUUUACCAUUUUAUUUAUUUUGAUACUUUCAUGUCACAUUUAUUUAUUUUAAUAUUGCCAUUAUUUAUUUUAUUUUAUUCUUAUGUUUUUUAGUAUUUUAUUAUUUCUUUUAUUGUUCACGGUUUUUUUUUCAUGUUAUACAUUUUUAUCUUUCUAAUCAUGCAUUUUUCCUUUUUUUAUUUUGUUUUAGGUUACGUUAUUUAUUAUUAUUAUUAUGAUAAUAUUAUUAUAAUUAUAUUACCAUUAUUAUAGAAUUCCUUUAUUUGUAUAUUCCAUUAUAACUAUUAUUAUUAUUAGUAGUCUUUAACUCACUUCUAUUUUUAUUAUUAUUUUUUAGAAUAGUAGUCAACAUGCUUAUCCUUAUUGUUAUUUGGUGUUGUUCUUAUGAUUUUAUCAUCAUUAUUGUUGUAUUUCAUUUUUUGUUCACUCUUUAAAUAUUUUGUUCAUAUAGUUAUUUUACACUAUUGCAAUAUUGUUGCAUUACGCAUUAUGUUUCUUAUAUAAUAAUUAUUUUGCUUUCACGCGAUGUUCGAAUCAAUUAAACAUGAAUCUUCUCAAUUAUUACAUUAAUUGUUACUUAAGUUCAAAAAGAAAAUUUUCAAAAUAAGGCAAUAUUUUGCGUUUUGGAAAUUCGAGAAAUCAUACCCUAACUUACGAGGUUUCGAUUUUCUCGUUAAACUUAAAUAGCAAAAUAUUCUUUUAAAUUUCAAAAUGCAUGCAAUUUCAAUAAAAAUCAAAGGCAAGCUUAUUCUCUAAGGUUCCAAAUAUCGCGUCCUAACUUACGGGAUGUGACAUUUCGUUACCUCGAGACGAGUAGGUCUUCAACACUCUUUUCGAUUUAUUCGAGCGUUUUUAAUAACAUUAAUAAAAAGGGAUCGUAUUUUAAAUUUCUAUUCAAGUUUUCAACCUUGGACAUUAAGACAUUACUUAAUCAACUAGGUACCACCUUUGGGUGUAUUGAGGGUGUGUUUUCUAGAUUUUGUAGACCAAAUAUUAUCGUUUUUAGUAAAUUUAAAUUUUUAUUAAAAUGAUUAAAUUACAAGUGUUGACACCAUUUUUUCGAUGAAAAACGGGGUCGACUUGGGUUUUAAAAAAAAUGAAAAACGGGAGUCGCCACCAAUCCUUUUUGAUAAGGUGUGAUUGGGUCACCUUGAAAAAUGGUUGUUUUUAAUAAAUGAUUUGAUUUUAUUAAAACAACGGUUUUGGUCCAUGAAAUUUAGAAAACGGGUUCGGGAGUCGAUUACGUACGAGGAAGGAUUAGCACCCUCGUAACGCCCAAAAAUUGGUACCUAGUUGGUUAGCUAAUGUCUUGAUGUCGAAAAUUGAGAACUUGGAAAAAAUUAAAAAUACGAUCCUUGUAUUAAAAUGAAAAUUUUAGGAAAAGGGGGGGGCAUACUUCACGCUAAUCGAGAAAGAGAAUCAUAUCCAGUAAGUUAGGACACAAUGUCUCGAAUUCCCGAUACGCGAAUGAAUGCCAAAAUUUUACUUAUUUAAAAGACAUUUUAGCCGUCUCGAAUUUAAAAAUGAAAUCACGACCAGUAAGUUAGGACGUGAUUUUUUAAAACUUGAGUUUGAAAAGAUUCGUGCAUCUAGAUUUAUCGUGAAAAUCAAUACCCAGUAAGUUAGGGUACGAUUUUCUUGAAUUUAAACACGAAAUGCCAUUUUUUAAAACAAAUUUUGUUAUAUCGAGUGAAAUAAAAACACAAAGUCGUAGUAAAAAAAUGUGUAAGCAAAUUACAUUGUUAUGCAUGGCAAAAUCAUAAUGAAUACAAAAGUAUAAAAAUGAUACGAGCAAUAAAAACAAUAUAAAAUAAAUAAAAGUCAAACCUACAAUAAUAUUAAAUAACAAUGUAUAUAAACAAAUAAAAUUAAAACAUUCAUUCAAAAUAAUAAUGAAAAUGAAAUAAAUAAAUAGUAAAUACAAAAUAAAACAAUAGUAAUGAAUAAAAAUAAUAUAAUAUAUAUAUGUAUGUUAGAAUUAUAAAGUAUAAAAAUAUACGUAUGUGUAUAUAAGAAUAUGUAAGCAUGUAUAUAUACAUAGAUUAUAAAAUAUAGAUAUUUAUAUAAAAAUGAGUAUUUGUAUUAAAUAAGUUGAAAAAAUAUAUAUAUAUAUACCUACAUAUAUAUAAAAAAUUAUAUAAUAAUAACAAUAUAAUAAAACACAUAUAUCUAAAAUUUACAUAAGUAAAUAUAAAUAAAAACAUACUAAUAACAAUAAUAUUAAUAGUAAAAUGAUAAUACAUAAAAAUGAUGAAGAAAAUAAUAAAAAUGCUUAAAAGGGGACUAAAUCGAAGUAAGAACCAAAAAAAAAGGGGCAAAAUCGAAAUAAAGACAAGAGGGACUAAAUUGUAACGCGCGCUGAAAGAGGGGGACCAACAAGGUAAACAAACCAAAGCCUCAAAACGUUGCUCUGUAAAGGACUGAAAUGAGACAAAAAUAAAAUUUUGUGGCCAAAUUGCAAAUAUGCGAAAAACUUCCAUGAAAUCGCUACAAAAUCAAAGGGACUAAUUGCGCAAAUAGACCCUUAAACAAAAACGCGCGGAUCCUUGGGUGCGGGUCGGGUCGACGUGCGGAUCCCCUCACCAAAACGGCGUCGUUUUGUGUUUAAUAUAAAUAUAAAAAAAAGGGCUAAAAAAAACAGUUUCAUCAUUUUUGUUGAAAAACAAAGAGAAACCUCUCUCUUUUUUCCCUUUCUCAGGCUCAGAUUCCGGAGAUGGCCCGGCCUAGGCUUCUGGCGAAUCUCCGCCGUAGAGCCACCGUGUGUGGCGGCCGGAGGUCCAAAAUCGGACCUUUUCGGUCCCUUUUUGAAACUGAGAAUCCCUAGGGUACGGAUCUGGGACCAAACCCCCGAAAAAAAGAAUCGGAGACCUGAAGAACGAGGGGAAACCGCUCGUCUUCUCUCCUCCGGCGCGGCGCAGGUAAGGUUUCUUUUUCCUUUAUUUAUAUUACGUAAAAAAAACAUACAAAAAGAAAAAAAAAGAAAAUAGAGUUUAAAAAAAAUCUAAAAUAGAAAUGAGAGAAAAUCACCUCUCAAGUUUUCUUGUUUUUUAUUUCUUUUUGCUAAUAUCUGUUUCUUCUUUUUACAAAAGUUGAUGGAAGAAGAAAAAAUUACAUUUUGUUGGCUUUUUAUAGCCGACUUCUACUACUGCCUGUGUUAUUUGCUCUCUGUUUCUUUGUUUUGUUUCUUCUUUGCAGGUGACGGCGCAAGUGGUGGUGGUGACGUGACCGUGGCAGUGGCGGCGUGACGUUGGCGGCGGCGGCAGGCCAAAGGUCAAUAGGUGUGGAGCCUAGGGUUUUAGUUUUUGAAACCCUAGGCAGAUUUUUUUAGGGGAAUUGGGCCUUAGCUAUUGGGUUGUUCGGGUUUGGGCCUCGGGUUAGGCUAGUUGGGCUUUGAGGUUGGGUUGUUUUGUAAUGUGCUUUGGUGUUUGGGCUGGUAGCUGGUGGGUAAGGUUUAUUGUUUUGGGUUCUUGGGCCUGGUUCUGUUUGGUUAGGGUAAUGGGCCAUUUGGGUCUGGGCAUAAAAUUGGGCUAUACAACAAGGUGACCCGAUUACACCUCAUCAAAAAGGAUUGGUGGCGACUCCCAUUUUCAUUUUCAUUUCUUUUUAAAUCAAAGUCAACCCGUUUUUAAAAAAAAUGGUUUCGACAAUAAGAUAUAUUGAUUAGUUAUGUCAUAACUAAAGAUGAUGGAGUUGACAAAAGGAAAUUGUAGUUAACAACGAAUAAUCUACGUAGAACAUUUCAAUAUUAUGGAAAAAUGAGUAUUUACCAACCUUCUUUUAGUCAAAUUAUGCAAGCCUAAAAUUUUUAGCUUAAUUUGAGUUUGUUGACUAUGUCUAAUUCAAGUUUUAUUAUUAAGGACUAAAUUGUAACUUAAAAAAAUUAGAAUACCAAUUUAAAGAGACAAAAAUUCAAAACCCCAAAACCCACAUGGGCAUGUGGGUAAGUGACACAGGCGUGUGGAGACUGGAGCUAUCACACACGGGCGAGUGGGACAGAAAAAUAUGAAAUAAAUUAAUCCACUUAAAUUUCAAACAACCAUGCUAUACUACCAAACCAAAUAAUGCUAGAAGCUUUGAAUAGGGGUGAAUCGAAAAAAAAAAUAAAAGAAUUAGAAUUAAAUUAUAAAAUUUUCAGAAGUUAUCAUGUAUUAAUUUAUUAUUUUUUAAAGGGUCUUAAUAGAAUUUUUUUUUUCCAUUUUGGUUUGGCCAAUACCCCUGUCUACCUCUUUCAAUUUGCUUCAACCCUAAACCUAAUAUUCAAUUUGUUGUGGAAGUUUGACGCAUAAAAAUUUCUUUUUUAGAGGUUUAAAUUAUAAAUUUUUGAAAGUUUAAAAUAAAUUUUCAUUUUUAUUAACAAAAUAUAAAAGAAAAAAAACAUGUGUAGACAAACCAAGAAACCUUUGGGAUCAUACGGGUGAUUUUGAUGAUGUUAAUGGUUAUUUUGAUGGAGAGGGUGAAAAAGAAACAAAUGAUUCAUAUAUAUAAUAUAAUUAUGAAAUUCAAGCCAUAUAUUGUAUGUUUCAUCCAUAAAAAUUUCAUGGGAGGUCCGAAGGUAAUUAAAUGACUUGUAGGCUUGCUGAAUUUCUUUGAAAGGCCCAAUGGCAAUUUAACAUUCACAAAAUAAUCUCUAAAUACUGUAAAGACAAAAUCAAAUCCACAGCAGCAUUAGAGUUGAUUAAGCUAAGCAUUGGCAAAUAUUACUUUGAUUUUGCAUGCAAUAUUAGCAAAACCCCCUCUUACAUUAGAUAAACAACAUACUCCAUGAAACAUUGAUAGCCCAAAUACAAAUUUCAUCGACAAAAAAGUCUCUUUGUUUUGUAGAACAUGAUAGUAAAAAUGUGGAGUUUCGUUCUUCUUAUUGGCCUCCUUUAGUUUUCCUUGAUCAACAACCACUAGCCAAAAACACAAUUAGAUUAGAUUAUGAAUGAUACGUUCAACUAUGACAUUAUUAAAUAUAAAACACUCUAAAUAACUCUAAAUAAAUGGAAAGCAACAAAUUACCUAACGAGGCAAGCUAGCUCAAUUAAGACCAUUGUGUUAUACUUGUCUCUGAAUUGAAAAAUUUAGAAGGAAAUAAAGAGAAAGACUUAGAAAAUAUUUGAAAACAGAUAAAACUUAUAUGUCAUUUAAAAUAAAAAUUUUGUAUUUAAGCCGUUUAAAAUUUUUAAGAUUUUUGAAAUUUUAAAACGAUAAAGGUAAAAUUGUACUUUGGCACACCAAAAAUGAUAAAACUUUGAUUUAAUCCUUUAGAAAUUAUAAAAAUAUAGGCUAUUAAAAUGGUGAAAUUACCUUUUUACUAUAGUAAAAAUUACAAUUUAAUUUCACUUUAAGAUUUUCUGACUUCGCCCCUAAUAAAAUCUUUGGCAAAAGAUUAAAAUAAAAUUAUACCGUAAAUGGAAAAAGAAACAAAGAAAAUCCAAUCUAACAAAGAAAAUAACUUAUUUCCAAAAGCUACCAUAAACCGUAAUUCAUGGGAAGAGAGCCUAGUACGUGAGAGCAAAAGUAAAAACAAAUAGUUUAUAUGAUUAAAAUUCCAGAAUAGGUUAAAAAUGUUGAAUUAAAGAUAAAAUUAAGCGUGAAUUAAUAACCACAAGUGUACUCUUUACUCACCAUCUCUGUUAAAAAUGUUGGAUGUUGUUUAGCAACCUUUGUUUGAUUUUCUUCAGCUCAACCACAACAUCUUUCAUUUCUUUUCUUUCUUCUGGUAACUCAGCUGAACAAUUCAAAGCCAACUCCAUGAUAGAUGAAAUACAAUUUGCUUUAACAACAAUGUUCUCAUCCUCUCUUCUUAGUAAAUCAACAUCUGCAAUUUCUAUCGCUCCUUUAGGCAAUGAACUUUCCAUCCAAUGCCUUAUAGUCUCUUCUUCAACAAAAACAUUAUCAGUUGGCUUUCUCUUUGUGAAAGUUUCUAUAAGGACGAUCUCAUAACUAUAAACGUCAGAUUUUAUAGAAACAAGUCCUGCAGAUCCAAAUUCUGCAUUUCAAGUAUAAUUAGAACAUCAUCAGUCCUCAAUUAUUUGAUAAAUCUAUGUAUAUCCACAUACACGAGAAACAAAAAUAUAAAACGCAAAUUAGGAAAAUAAUCGUACAAAGAUAAAAAAAGAAUUCACCUGGUGCCAUAUACCCGAUUGUUGCAAGAGUCAUGGUUUGCUUCAUUACUUCACCUUCUCCCAACAAUUUGGCAACGCCAAAAUCUCCAACAUGUGCAACCAUGUCUUCAUCUAGUAAAAUAUUGCUUGGUUUUAUGUCACAAUGAAUUAUAGGGGUUGGAUGUCCAUUGUGGAGGUGUUCUAUAGCCACCGCAACAUCUAUCAUUAUGUCGACCCUUUGUAUGAUAUCAAGGAAACAAUUUUUAGAAUGUAACCAUUUCUCAAGGUUUCCAUUAGACAUGUAAUCAAGCACCAAGGCUUUGAAGUCAACACUUGAGCAGCAAGUAAUGACCUUCACAAUAUUACGAUGAACUAUAUUAAUCAUAGCAUCACAUUCAAUGUCAAAACUCCUAAAUGCUCCCUCUGUUUGCAAAUUGAAAACUUUUAUUGCAACUUCCAUUCCAUCUGAAAGCCUCCCUUUAUAUACAUAUCCAAAACUCCCUGAACCAAGCAUAUUGCUUUCCUCAAAUCCAUUAGUUGCUCGUGAAAGUUCAGCAUAUGAAAUUCUUCUCGGUGUCUUCAAAGACAACAAAUCAUCUUUAAUUGGUAGAGCUGUAUUAGCUAAUGUUUCAAAAUUUAAUGUUGGUUCAUUAGAACCGUAUAAACCGAGACCCAAAAACUCCUUCUUUGGCAUCUUCUAUACAUAAUAGUUAAGACUAUUAGUACUACGACAAUACCAAUUGUUGGUAAACCAUACCUAAAAGCAUGCAAUAUAAUCGUUUGGGAGUUUUUGUGGAUGUCGUUUUUACAAGGUGGGACUAGCAAUCUAGGUGGACCACAAAGUGCAUAAUUCUUCAUGAAUGAUGUGCUAGAAAAGUUUGAAAAACAUCCUUCACUGGGAAUUUCCCCUUCAAGUCUAUUGAAAGACACAUUAAAAUACUUUAGAUAUAAAAGCUUUUCCAAAGAUUUGGGAAUGACUCCAGAGAGAUUGUUAUUGCAUAAAUCCAAGAAUUCCAAACUAAUCAACCCAUCAAAUGAUUCAGGGAUAUGACCAUGUAGUAUAUUAUUUGAUAAAUCUAAUGAAACCAAAGUUAUAAGACCCCCAAAUGUGGAUAAGAUAUCGCCCGUGAGAAGAUUCCUUGAUAAAUUUAGUUUCAGUAGACUCUUCAAAUUUCCAACAUCAAUAGCAUGUGAAUUGUGAAGAUGGUUUGAUGAUAAGUCUAUUUCUAAGAUAUCUUUAAGAUUCCACAAAGUUGAGGGUAUUGUAGAACUCAAUUUGUUGGAAUCUAAGUAAAGAUAUCCCAAAGAAGUAAUAUUACCCAAACAAGAGGGUAUGGAUCCAUGCAGCUUAUUCAACCCUAAAUACAUCUUGUAUAGUCUCUCCAAAUCACAAAGGCUUUCUGAGAUGGGCCCUCCUAAUUUAUUAGAGGAAAGAUAUAGACCUUGGAGAUUUCUCAUUCCUCCUAUUGAUGCUGGAAUCAAUCCACUUAAUUUAUUAUAGUCAAGUUGUAAAAGCAAUAGGUUGGUUAAGUUACCUAUUUCCAUAGGAAUAAUGCCUUGAAGCUCACACUCAUCGGCAUAAAAGUAUUGAAGGGAUUUUGAAAGGUUCCCAAUAUAAGUAGGAAGAACGCCACUCAAUGGAUUUCCUGAAACAUCUAUUGUGCUCAAAUUCCUACAAUUCGUCAAAGAAGAAAUAAAGCUCCACUCAUGAUCAGUAGAAGAUCCUGUGAUCAAAUUAUUGUCAAAGAUUUUGAGCACUUCAAGGUGUCUUAAGUUGCCAAGCGUUUUAGGGAUUGGGCCAGAGAAUAAGUUAUGCGCCAAGUCUAGUUCCUUAAGCAUGGAAGCAUUGAAGAUAGAGUUGGGAAUGUUUCCGCUAAGUUUAUUUCUCCACAAUAAAAGAAUCUCAAGCUUUGGAGCAUUGGUGAUUGGUGGUAAAUCACCUGUGAAAUAGCAUCUUUUAGUAUACACAUUCAUUGAAUACCAAAUUCACAAAAUAUAUAAUACAUUAAAAUAAAAACUGUAAAACUUUAAAUCAAUUAAGAAUAAAAUUUUGGCAUGGAAAAAUGUGAUGAAAUCAAUUAGAAAGUUGAGACAUAAUAAGAAGUUUUGAGUAGUAAUUACUCAUGAUUUC
RNAcentral lists this long non-coding RNA (20340 nucleotides) under Gossypium barbadense (sea-island cotton). RNAcentral's name for it is "long non-coding RNA (GBAR_LNC016635)". The record is from RNAcentral. Lineage: Eukaryota; Viridiplantae; Streptophyta; Magnoliopsida; Malvales; Malvaceae.